GACGAACGCUGGCGGCGUGCUUAACACAUGCAAGUCGAACGAAGAGCGAUGGAAGCUUGCUUCUAUCAAUCUUAGUGGCGAACGGGUGAGUAACGCGUAAUCAACCUGCCCUUCAGAGGGGGACAACAGUUGGAAACGACUGCUAAUACCGCAUACGCUCUAAUCUCGGCAUCGAGGAUAGAUGAAAGGUGGCCUCUACAUGUAAGCUAUCACUGAAGGAGGGGAUUGCGUCUGAUUAGCUAGUUGGAGGGGUAACGGCCCACCAAGGCGAUGAUCAGUAGCCGGUCGGAGAGGAUGAACGGCCACAUUGGGACUGAGACACGGCCCAGACUCCUACGGGAGGCAGCAGUGGGGAAUCUUCCGCAAGGGACGAAAGUCUGACGGAGCAACGCCGCGUGAGUGAUGACGGCCUUCGGGUUGGAAAGCUCUGUUAAUCGGGACGAAAGGCCUUCUUGCGAAUAGUGAGAAGGAUUGACGGUACCGGAAUAGAAAGCCACGGCUAACUACGUG
This 510-nucleotide ribosomal RNA is filed under the name uncultured bacterium. RNAcentral's name for it is "partial 16S ribosomal RNA". It matches the Rfam family "Bacterial small subunit ribosomal RNA", at positions 28 to 507 of the family's 1533-position model. The record is from RNAcentral.